This 321-nucleotide ribosomal RNA is filed under the name Triticum aestivum (bread wheat). Its description in RNAcentral is "partial small subunit ribosomal RNA". Lineage: Eukaryota; Viridiplantae; Streptophyta; Magnoliopsida; Poales; Poaceae. The record is from RNAcentral.
AUGCAGAAAAAUGCAAAUUUUAAUAAAAUACCAUGGCAAUUUUGGAUAUGGAUUUGCCAUGGUAUUUUAUUAAAAUAUUGCCAGGGUCCUUUAUUUUUCAUUUUUGUAGUUCUCCAUCCAUUUGUGUCCUCGGCAUUUCUACAAACAGGCAAUGGGCAGCGCCGAAGGACAUGGCAUCCUUGGCGGGGCUCGCCGGAGCAGGCUAUGGCGCAGACGAGGUUGCAGAAGGUGAUGGCGGCUCACGACGCCCGUGUCCACGAGGCUGGAAACAAGCUCUGGCUGCUGGAGGUGUGCGCUGAUACGUCUCCAAUGUAUCUAUAA